RNAcentral lists this ribosomal RNA (495 nucleotides) under uncultured bacterium. RNAcentral describes it as "partial 16S ribosomal RNA". It matches the Rfam family "Bacterial small subunit ribosomal RNA", at positions 28 to 505 of the family's 1533-position model. The record is from RNAcentral.
GAUGAACGCUGGCGGCGUGCCUAAUACAUGCAAGUCGAGCGAACGGACGAGAAGCUUGCUUCUCUGAUGUUAGCGGCGGACGGGUGAGUAACACGUGGAUAACCUACCUAUAAGACUGGGAUAACUUCGGGAAACCGGAGCUAAUACCGGAUAAUAUUUUGAACCGCAUGGUUCAAAAGUGAAAGACGGUCUUGCUGUCACUUAUAGAUGGAUCCGCGCUGCAUUAGCUAGUUGGUAAGGUAACGGCUUACCAAGGCAACGAUGCAUAGCCGACCUGAGAGGGUGAUCGGCCACACUGGAACUGAGACACGGUCCAGACUCCUACGGGAGGCAGCAGUAGGGAAUCUUCCGCAAUGGGCGAAAGCCUGACGGAGCAACGCCGCGUGAGUGAUGAAGGUCUUCGGAUCGUAAAACUCUGUUAUUAGGGAAGAACAUAUGUGUAAGUAACUGUGCACAUCUUGACGGUACCUAAUCAGAAGGCCACGGCUAACUACG